UGGGGAAUUUUGCACAAUGGGGGGAACCUUGAUGCAGCGACGCCGCGUGAGGGAUGGAGGCCUUCGGGUUGUGAACCUCUUUCGCUCGGGUGCAAGCCGCUAUUUGGGUAGUGGUGAGUGUAGCGGGUAAAGAAGCGAGGGCUAACGACGUGCCAGCAGCCGCGGUAAUACGUAGGGCGCGAGCGUUGUCCGGAUUUAUUGGGCGUAAAGGGCUUGUAGGCGGUUUGUCGCGCCUGUCGUGUAAUCCUCUGGCUUAACUGGGGGUGUGCGGUGGGUACGGGCAGGCUUGAGUGCGGUAGGGGAGAGUGGAAUUCCUGGUGUAGCGGUGGAAUGCGCAGAUAUCAGGAGGAACACCGGUGGCGAAGGCGGGUCUCUGGGCCGUUACUGACGCUGAGGAGCGAAAGCGUGGGGAGCGAACAGG
This 421-nucleotide ribosomal RNA is filed under the name Fusobacteriota bacterium. RNAcentral describes it as "Fusobacteria bacterium partial 16S ribosomal RNA". It matches the Rfam family "Bacterial small subunit ribosomal RNA", at positions 355 to 776 of the family's 1533-position model. The record is from RNAcentral. Lineage: Bacteria; Fusobacteriati; Fusobacteriota.